UACAGAGGUCUCAAGCGUUGUUCGGAUUCAUUGGGCGUAAAGGGUGCGUAGGCGGCGCGGUAAGUCGGGUGUGAAAUCUCGGAGCUUAACUCCGAAACUGCAUUCGAUACUGCCGUGCUUGAGGACUGGAGAGGAGACUGGAAUUUACGGUGUAGCGGUGAAAUGCGUAGAUAUCGUAAGGAAGACCAGUGGCGAAGGCGGCUCACUGGGUCUCUUCUGACGCUGAGGCACGAAAGCUAGGGGAGCGAACGGG
This 253-nucleotide ribosomal RNA is filed under the name uncultured bacterium. Its description in RNAcentral is "partial 16S ribosomal RNA". It matches the Rfam family "Bacterial small subunit ribosomal RNA", at positions 524 to 776 of the family's 1533-position model. The record is from RNAcentral.